CGUGGGUAACCUGCCCAAGAGAUCGGGAUAACACCUGGAAACAGAUGCUAAUACCGGAUAACAACAGAUGAUGCCUAUCAACUGUUUAAAAGAUGGUUCUGCUAUCACUCUUGGAUGGACCUGCGGUGCAUUAGCUAGUUGGUAGGGUAACGGCCUACCAAGGCGAUGAUGCAUAGCCGAGUUGAGAGACGGAUCGGCCACAUUGGGACUGAGACACGGCCCAAACUCCUACGGGAGGCAGCAGUC
RNAcentral lists this ribosomal RNA (246 nucleotides) under uncultured Lactobacillus sp. Its description in RNAcentral is "partial 16S ribosomal RNA". It matches the Rfam family "Bacterial small subunit ribosomal RNA", at positions 116 to 355 of the family's 1533-position model. Lineage: Bacteria; Bacillati; Bacillota; Bacilli; Lactobacillales; Lactobacillaceae. The record is from RNAcentral.